RNAcentral lists this ribosomal RNA (1478 nucleotides) under uncultured Sunxiuqinia sp. RNAcentral describes it as "bacterial SSU rRNA". It matches the Rfam family "Bacterial small subunit ribosomal RNA". The record is from RNAcentral. Lineage: Bacteria; Pseudomonadati; Bacteroidota; Bacteroidia; Marinilabiliales; Prolixibacteraceae.
AUCGAGUUCGAUCAAGACAUACGCUGACACGCGAGAUGAAGGCAUAACACAUGCGUCUAGAGCGGCAGCACGGGUAGCAAUACCUGGUGGCGACCGGCGCACGGGUGCGUAACGCGUAUGUAAUCUACCAUUAACCCAUUAGCCCAGAGAAAUCUGGAUUAAUGCGCCAUAGUAUUAUCGACAGGCAUCUAAUGAUAAUUAUACCUCACGCGGUUUUUGCUGACCAUGCGUGUCAUUAGUUUGUUGGUGAGGUAACGGCUCACCAAGACUACGAUGACUAGGGAUUCUGAGAGGAUGAUCCGCCACACUGGUCCUGUGACACGGCCCUGACUGCUGCGCGCGUCAGCAGUAAGGAAUAUUGGGCAAUGGAGGCAACCCUGACCCUGCCAUGCCGCGUGAAGGAUUGACGGCCCUCUGGGUUGUAAACUUCUUGUACGGGAAUAACCCUCCGAACGUGUUCGGAGCUGAAGGUACCGUAAGAAUAAGGAUCGGCUAACUCCUGUGCCAGCAGCCGCGGUAAUACGGAGGAUCCAUACGUAUCCGGAUUACUGGGUUUAAAGGGUGCGUAGGCGGAUUGAUAAGUCAGUGGUGAAAGCCAGCAGCUUAACUGCAGAAUUGCCAUUGAUACUGAGAAGCUUGAGUACAGUUGAGGUAAGCGGAAUGUGUAGUGUAGCGGUGAAAUGCUUAGAUAUUUGUGAACACCGAUUGCGAAGGCAGCUUACUAAACUGUUACUGACGCUGAUGCACGAAAGCGUGGCCAGCGAACAGGAUUAGAUACCCUGGUAGUCCACGCCGUAAACGAUGCUCACUCGCUGUAUGCGAUACACAGUAUGCGGCCAAGCGAAAGCAUUAAGUGAGCCACCUGGGGACUACUAUCCCAAUGUUGAAACGCAUAGGAAUUGCCAUCGGCCCGCACAAGCGGAGGAACAUGUGGUUUAAUUCGCUGAUACGCGAGGAACCUUACCUGUGAUUAAAUGGCAAACGACAGCUGCCUAAAGGUGGCCUUCCUCCGAUCGUUCUGUAGAGGUGCUGCAUGGUUGUCGUCAGCUCGUGCCGUGAGGUGUCGGGUCUAAGUCCCAUAACGAGCGCAAUAUGCGUUAGUUGCCAGCGGGUAAUGUCGGGAACUCUAGCGAGACUGCCAACGUAAGUUGUGAGGAAGGUGGGGAUGACGUCAAAUCAGCACCUCCCUUACGUCCAGGGAUAUACAUGUGAUAUAAUGGCCGGUAGAGAGGGCAGCCACCUGGGUACAGGGAGCUAAACCAUACAGCCGGUCUCAGUUCGGAUCGAAGUCUGCAACCCGACUUCGUGAAGCUGGAUUCGCUAGUAUUCUCAUAUCCGCCGUGAUGCGAUGAAUUCGAUCUCGCGCCUCAACGCCCGACAUGCCCUGGAAGCUGGCGGUACCUGAAGUCGGUAACCGCAACGAGCUAGCUAGGGUUAAACUAGUAACUGGGGCUAAGUCGUAACAACGUAACUCGAUG